Molecule: ribosomal RNA, 446 nt
Filed under: uncultured bacterium
Lineage: Bacteria
Description: partial 16S ribosomal RNA
Rfam family: Bacterial small subunit ribosomal RNA
Source: RNAcentral
CCUACGGGUGGCAGCAGUCGAGAAUCAUUCACAAUGGGGGAAACCCUGAUGGUGCGACGCCGCGUGGGGGAAUGAAGGUCUUCGGAUUGUAAACCCCUGUCAUGUGGGAGCAAAUUAAAAAGAUAGUACCACAAGAGGAAGAGACGGCUAACUCUGUGCCAGCAGCCGCGGUAAUACAGAGGUCUCAAGCGUUGUUCGGAAUCACUGGGCGUAAAGCGUGCGUAGGCUGUUGCGUAAGUCGUGUGUGAAAGGCGCGGGCUCAACCCGCGGACGGCACAUGAUACUGCGAGACGAGAGGAAUGGAGGGGGAACCGGAAUUCUCGGUGUAGCAGUGAAAUGCGUAGAUAUCGAGAGGAACACUCGUGGCGAAGGCGGGUUCCUGGACAUUAACUGACGCUGAGGCACGAAGGCCAGGGGAGCGAAAGGGAUUAGAUACCCCGGUAGUC